AGGCAGCAGUGGGGAAUUUUGGACAAUGGGCGCAAGCCUGAUCCAGCAAUGCCGCGUGUGCGAAGAAGGCCUUCGGGUUGUAAAGCACUUUUGUCCGGAACGAAAAAUCUUUGGCUAAUACCUAGAGGUGAUGACGGUACCGGAAGAAUAAGCACCGGCUAACUACGUGCCAGCAGCCGCGGUC
This 184-nucleotide ribosomal RNA is filed under the name uncultured Burkholderia sp. Its description in RNAcentral is "partial 16S ribosomal RNA". It matches the Rfam family "Bacterial small subunit ribosomal RNA", at positions 346 to 522 of the family's 1533-position model. The record is from RNAcentral. Lineage: Bacteria; Pseudomonadati; Pseudomonadota; Betaproteobacteria; Burkholderiales; Burkholderiaceae.